Peromyscus californicus insignis is the source of this 6377-nucleotide long non-coding RNA. RefSeq lists it as uncharacterized. NCBI's taxonomy places the organism in Eukaryota, Metazoa, Chordata, Mammalia, Rodentia, Cricetidae. The transcript is spliced from 3 exons. The record is from RefSeq and is a predicted model, not a curated record.
GUAGAUGGCGUGUGAGAGCAGGUGCUCACAGAGUUCAGAAGAUGGUGUUGAGUCCCCUGGAGCUGGAGUUACAGAUAACUGUGAGCCCCGAACCAUGGUGCUUUGCAAGAACCAGGUCCUUUGUAAGAACAGAAAGCUGCUGAAGCGGCCAGUCAUCCGCACAUGUAAAUCUUUAAUGGUGUCCAUGAAAACUGCCGAUCAGUGAGUUAAACACAUCGUAUCACAGAGCACAGGAGUUCUCCCAGCUCUGCGGCUGCGUCCUCAAUGCCCGUCCUCAAUGCCGUCUUUUCUCCCCGGAUCUCAGCCGGGGCUACCAUCCGUUUGCUCACUCAUUACAGGAGCCCCGAGAGCCUGCCCGCUGCACACAGCAACACGGGUCUCUUUCACUGCACACCUGCUUUACACACGCACGGGACCGAAAUUACUGAAUUCCUCAUCGGUGACAUCGUUUCCUAUUUGGGGCUCUGGAUUUGACCCUACAACUUGAUGAGAUGACGGGGAACUUGCUUUUCUAGAUUAAUACUUAACCCCUGCCGUUCUUCCUCAGACAGAGCUUUACACUCACUGGCUUCAUUCACCUGUCCAACUCAACUCUUCCCUGCUUUGAGGACCAAGUCCAUGCCUUGCCUUCCUCUUUACCCCAGUAGGAAAAAGUCAGACAUCUAAAGCCUUAACAAUGUGGGAUUUGACACAGCAAACAGAUCAUGUUCCUACAGAGAAGAUAUGACCCCCACAAGAGAGAUGAAGACUUCGAGGAGCAUUUAUACUGGGAAGGAAGAAACAUCACUUUGGAUCACAGCUGGUGAGAAGCAGAAACCCCAAGACAGACCAGGCCUCUGGCAAGACAUUGAAAUGGGAAGUGAACGGCGACCCUGCCUCUAGGUGUUUGUUUCCUAGGCAAUGGCGGGAAAUGGACACCGCACCAGGGUCCCAUCGUAUUCCCAGGACAAGUGAGCAAAACAAAGAAAUCCUCACUCCUCACCCAGGUGGAACCCAUUCCUGUGAAGAUACUCAAUGCUUUGAGGUUCAAAUGAAGUUGCCUUGAACCUGCUACCUUGCCUGAGACAGGACCGUCCGCAUCUCUCCAGGGAGCCUGGCCUUGGGGAUGAGCUGUGCACUUCCUCUGUCCCUGAUCAACUUCCUGAGUGGAUGACUUUUCCGUCGGUAAUGUGCUGCGGUCCUCAUCCGCACUCCGUUGAACUGAGAUUCAACAGGGCUUUACGGAUGUUUGUGCGCAUGCGUCAGCUUUGCUCGGGUGGGUUUGGAGGUGACGGUGACGCCUCCUCACACUGCCACGGGUGGGUUUGGAGGUGAUGGUGACACCUCCUCACACUGCCACUUUGCUUGGCCCGUUCUCUCUCCUUAAAGGCUCCUCAUAUUUCCAUGUGGCUCCCGUUUUUUUUGUUUUUUUGUUUUUUUUAAAUGUGCUUUGCUAAGAGAGUCAGGGAUUAUUUAUUGUCUUGCUAGGUAAUGAGAAGAACUGGUAGCGGCUUGCCGGUGGCCACCAUUUUCUUCCAGUUCUGUUAGCUAAAGAGGUGGUGUGGAGAACCAUUUUAUUGUCUCUGUGGAUCAUGUCCUCUUCCUCGUGGGCCAGUAUUGACGCUGCUUUUCUUUCUUUGUUCUACCACACUGUAGCCUGUGCUUGUCUCCCGUUCGAAUCCCCUGUCUCAGCCUCCUGGAGAUUUAGAUGACAAGCCUGAGGCGCCGAGCCUGGCGGCUUUGGUUUUAAGUAACAAUAUCUUCUUUCCCAGUUACACAGUGAUUCCAAGACAGUCUCCCAGUCCUCUGAAUUCUUUUUAUCCCCGAGAUGGAUAACGUCAAUCAUAAAUAAUUAUAACAGAGAUAAGGAUAUUAUUGUUAUUAUUGGCAGGAGAUAAAUGUCCCUUCGAGGACAAUUGAAGGCGUUUGAACAGAGGAAUGAUAGGGCCAGAUCAGAGCUUCCAUCUGGGCAGAUGAGAAAAGACUAUGGCAGAGCAAGAGACUCACUGUGGAAGAGGAAGGUCAGAGGAAGUGAGCCAAGACUGUGACAAUGAGAAUUCCGAGAAAGGACUUGAGGCAAGGGCUCAGGGCAGAGGCCCUGGAAACAGAUUUACACGUUGAAAACAGAAUGCUAACCCAAAGCAGGGAGGAACACAGCCGUGUGCAGGGCUACCUAAUUGUAGAUGCGCACAUGUCCAGUGCUGGGGACCCUGCAGGAGUGGUAGGCCGAAGCAGAAUCAACCUGCUGGGCUGUGCAUCACUCAAGAUUAACCACUGAAUUCUCUUGCUAAGUAUGGCCCGAGGGCAUACAACAGGUACCAGUUAUCCAAAUAAAGAAAGGAAAAAGAGGCGCAGGAUCAAAUGGAGCGUCUCUCGGGGAGCAGGCAGGCAAGUCCAAGGGGUUGGGUGGGCAGCAAAGGCAGGACAGACGUCCGAAGUCAAAGGGUGCAUUGUCCCGUACAAUCCACGCUACGUGGCGGUCCAUUCCCCCGUCCCCGACGGGAUGGAGGACAUAUGUCAAGCAGAAAAGAAUUUGGACUUCCAACUCCUGUUUGGUCACAGAAGCCCCGGGAGAGAGUGACUGAACCUUUGCCUGCUGUACACGUGGUGGACAUGGGAAAUGGCAGCGACAUCCAAACAUGCUGUAUCAAUUGCCUUUUGUUGAGUACUUAUUGUUCACGUAGAGGGUCCAGACAAAGUGGUAAAUAAGCCGAUGCUUGAUUCAGCAUCAUUUAUUGGUAGUAAAAGGGGAGCUGCCAUUCUCGUAUGACCCGUGAGCCAGGAAGAGGAGGGGGACACUCCUUGGGGGCAGCGAGUCCACAGAUGUAAGGCUGGCACUCCUAACUGGCACUCGGGACCUCCUUCUAGCAGUCCUCCUGCUCCUGAUGGUAACUACUUUCUCAUCAACUGUCCUGAGCUCUUACACGUCCCUGUGUCCUCCUAUCUGUGGGGCCUUCUCUAGCUGUUGGUUUUAUUCCAUUAGUUUCUCCUGACCUCAGGACUUCAUUUCUUAAACUGGGAAUGGUACCUAAGUAAUAUUUUUUUUUUAAAUUUUUCGAGACAGGGUUUCUCUGUGUAGCUUUGCGCCUUUCCUGGAACUCACUCAGUAGCCCAGGCUGGCCUCAAACUCACAGAGAUCCACCUGCCUCUGCCUCCCAAGGGCUGGGACUAAAGGCAUGUGCCACCACUGCCCGGCUUAAGUAAUAAUGUUUUUCAUGUUCAGACCCUUAUCUUUUUCUUUUUCUUCCAGCUAACAAGCAACUUCCAUUUCUUACUUCUCUCUGAGUUUUGGUAAUGAUCUGCAGGCUUCUCCAUAGACUAUCAGCAGCUUGGGAAUAGCCAUGCCGCUUCAGUCCAUCAAUCUGGAAAGCCACCGCCAAUAACACGUCCCGGAGGGAGUGUGGUGGAUGCCAACUGGAUAGAGCUCCCAUGCAGAACAUAAGCACGUAUUUAUAACUUGGGAAGGUGUUCUUAGUGUGCAGGAGUUUAGCAUCGGCCAUUGGUGACAUUUAAAAGCAAAAAGGACCAUUCAUAGGGGCUCAAGCAGUAAUCAGAGCUGGCUGUAGUCACCUGUCUGUACCCCUGAAUGUGCCUGAGUUUGGCUUGCGGCCCAGUGCUGACCUAGUCAGGGGGCAGCCAGUCAGCCAUCCCACUCGUGGGCCUGUCCUCAUUGUCUUGGCUAAUGUGUUAGCAGACUUAAUUGUUUGUUUCCUCCAAGUCUGGGGGUGUGUCACCUGCCAGGUGGAGCUGGAGAUGACCCACCGGGUUGGCAUUCCAGUCGGGUAAGUUAGCAGUUACUCUCCUCACAGCCUAAGGAACUGGCUUCCCUCUCUACCAACCUGUUGGCCUCUUCUGGCCUUAAGAAGCCAUUCUAAUAUCCUCAGGGGAUUUGUCAGGCCCAGAGUAAGAAUACACCCACCUUUGCCAAGGGCUCUUCAGUUAAUGUCCUACCCCAGCUCACCCAGCACUGUGCUUGCAGUAAUUGGCAGUAAGCCUUAUUCGAAAUAAAGUACCUCCAGUUCAUCUUGGGCCCUCCAAGGGCAGAGAUGCUCUUCUUAGGGAUUCCCCUAAUGCCUAAUCCUAGGAAGUCUUUACAAGUACAUAAAGGUAACCUAGUGCCACUCACGGGUUCACUGGCAAACUCUUCUUUUGGUACACUAUUUAUUCCGUUUUUAAAAGUCAAUAAAGUAGUCAGCAAUGAACAAACACUCAGGGAAAUGAACAAUUCAAGGCAACUGUCAAAUUCCAAUUGGUUGGUGAAGACAUUUACAGUUUGGAGCUUUGCAUGCAGCUCUUUAAAGGGAGUGAUAAGAGUUUACGCCUUGAGCUCUACAUAGAGAGAAGACACCCGGGUAGAGGAGGAAGUUGCUAGUUACAGUGUUGUGCUGAGCUCACAUCAAGCUUCUCUUUCCCCAACUCCUUAUUCAGUUAAAUCACAUUAGAGCAGGAAAUCAUCGGUGUGUAAGUACACCGUGGAAACUGGCCAGCACUGUCAACCACAGCUUUUUCCCCUCCCAAGAGCUAGUUGUUAAUACUCACCAGCACACCGUGGGCAGCGAAGACAGAACACAGAGCUAGAGGUGGAAACUCAUAAGUUGCUGUAGUCUGGAGCUAGAACCAGACUGAAGGUCAGGCUGUAUAGGAGCUUGUAAAGGAGACUAAGGAAUUUUGCAUUUCUUUAUAAUACCAGGGAACUAAUGCCAUUUGAUUAGUUGAGAUGCUUUGGUUAUAAGUCAAAGAACAUUUAAUUCAAAUGCCUUAAACAAUAAGUAAGAUGUAUUAGCUUACGCAACAAGAACUUGCAGUAGCCACACCAGUGUUGGUUAAAUCAGUCAUUUACCAAAGGUCCAGAGUCGUUUUAUUGUUUUUCCUCUGCUGUCUUCUGGAUAUCAGCUAGUCUUCGAACCAGCACAACAGUUCAAAAUCAACAUUCAAAAAGCAGGAAAAAAUACUUUAUUCUUUCUUCCUGUCUCUUUGUAAGAACAAAGACAUCCCCCCUACCCCAAAAAAGCCUCCAAGGGGUAAUGGAAUGUCAUCAUCAUCAGUGUUUCACCAGUAUCCCCCCCCCCCCCCCCACCUCCCUGAAGUGCAGAGCGGAACAGAGAAGGCUUGCUGUUGAAUGUAACCAAGGCUCUAUAAGCACAGAGGAAGGAGGUGGACAUUGGUUAGGAGUCCUAGUUGGCUUUCUGUUGCCAUGAUAAAUACCAUGACCACACACAACUUGGAAAGAAAGACUUCAUGUUAGCUUACAGGCUACAGCCUAUCCUCAAGAGAAGUCGGGGCAGGGACUCCAGCAGGAACCUGGGGCAGGAACUGCAACACAGACUGGAGGACUGCUGCUUACUGACUUGCUCCCUGUUUCUGCUCAGCUACCUUCCUUAUACACUCCAAGCCCGCCUGCACAGGGAUGGCCUACCUAGCGUGGGUGAGGCCCUCCAAACAAACACACACAAAACAUCCACUCCAAAGACAGGAUCCGAUGGAGACAAAUCCUCAUCUGAGGCUCCCUCUCCCCCAGGUGUAUCAAGUUGACAACCAAGAAGAGCUAUCUAGCCUAGACUGCUUUGGUAGAGAGAGGUCUUUGGAGUACCUUAGGAGGUAUAAUCUAGCAAUGAUAUGUAAGCAGACAGAAGGUCCGGGAGUAAAGACGAACAAUAAUACUUGAUGAUGAUGAUGAUGAUCGACGACAACAGGGUCUUGCUUUGUAGUUCAGGCUGGCUUUGAACUUGAAAUCCUUCUACCCUGGCCUCCUGAGUACUGGGAAUUAGUCAUGAACCACAAUACCCGGCUCCUGUUAGACUUUAAUGACGAGUUACUAAAGCCGUGGCUCUCAAUGGCCAAUCUGCUACCAAAUUCAACUAAUAGUGAAUGAAUGACUAUCAUAGGCCGAAUAUUGUUGUAGUAAUUAUACAUAAAAAUGGUGAGCUUACCUCAUGGAGAUUUAGAAUCAAAUGGUAAAGCGAAUAUCAGGCGACUCACAAAUAAAUAUAGCGUUAUAACCUGUUUGAGCACGAUGAAGGAAUCCUGGAUUUUCUCUCCUUUCUUUUUUUCUUUUUAACAGUAACAAAAUUCACCUACAGCAAAUCUAUACAACGUGACAUACAUGGGGCUGGAGCGACGGCUCAGCAUUGAAGAGCACUGGCUGCUCUUCCAGAGGACCCGGGUUCGAUUUCCAGCAUCUAUGGAGCUCACAACCAUUUGUAACUCCACUUCUAGGGGAUAUAAUGCCCUCUUCUAGCCCCCAUGGGAAAACAGGCACACGGUGCACAGAUCUAUAUGCAGGGAAUAUACCCAUAUAUGUGAAAUAAUAACAAUAUUAAGAAAAAACACUCCAAUGUGACAUCCAUGUGUAACAGCUACUAUUAGUACGAACAGAAUAUCCCAUCCUUUAGAAAAUC